GCGGACGUGGCUCAGCGGUAGAGCAUCGCCUUGCCAAGGCGAGGGUC
This is a non-coding RNA of Paenibacillus sp. IHB B 3415, 47 nucleotides long. The record is from Rfam. NCBI's taxonomy places the organism in Bacteria, Bacillati, Bacillota, Bacilli, Caryophanales, Paenibacillaceae.